CCUACGGGUGGCAGCAGUGAGGAAUAUUGGUCAAUGGGCGAGAGCCUGAACCAGCCAAGUCGCGUGAGGGAAGACGGUCCUACGGAUUGUAAACCUCUUUUGUCAGGGAACAAGGAGCGCCACGAGUGGUGCGGCGAGAGUACCUGAAGAAAAAGCAUCGGCUAACUCCGUGCCAGCAGCCGCGGUAAUACGUAGGUGGCAAGCGUUAUCCGGAUUUACUGGGUGUAAAGGGCGUGUAGGCGGGACUGCAAGUCAGAUGUGAAAACCACGGGCUCAACCUGUGGCCUGCAUUUGAAACUGUAGUUCUUGAGUACUGGAGAGGCAGACGGAAUUCCUAGUGUAGCGGUGAAAUGCGUAGAUAUUAGGAGGAACACCAGUGGCGAAGGCGGUCUGCUGGACAGCAACUGACGCUGAGGCGCGAAAGCGUGGGGAGCAAACAGGAUUAGAUACCCUAGUAGUC
Molecule: ribosomal RNA, 460 nt
Filed under: uncultured bacterium
Lineage: Bacteria
Description: partial 16S ribosomal RNA
Rfam family: Bacterial small subunit ribosomal RNA
Source: RNAcentral